CUCUAGGCCCGAGAGAGGACAGAGGAGGCGAGUAGCCAUUAUGCCUUUUCAUCAGCGAGAGCUAUGACUGGCCCGAUGUCUGAAGUGGGUUACCGCAUGGGUUGCCAAGGUUUGUCAUCACCCAGCUAAGCUCUGCUGCAGGGGUACAGCCAUCACCAUCCUCAUCAAGGACCGGGAUGCUUCUCCAGUGGUCUGUGCCAUUACCACCCGCAUCUGCCUCAUUAAUCAUGCCCCUGGCUCUGCUUCUGAGGGAUUCUGCACAACAGACUUCACGGCAGAGCCCAGGUCCUUUGUUGUCUUAGUUCCAUAUCCUCCUUGUCAUCUUUGAAUUCUGCAGUCUGCUCUCCAGGAGAGCUAUCUUUCGUGUGGAUUAUUAAGAAUCUGGAGAGGAGCCAGUGAGAUGUACUAACGGUGCCUU
Long non-coding RNA from Grammomys surdaster, 418 nucleotides. RefSeq lists it as uncharacterized. NCBI's taxonomy places the organism in Eukaryota, Metazoa, Chordata, Mammalia, Rodentia, Muridae. The transcript has 3 exons. The record is from RefSeq and is a predicted model, not a curated record.